Molecule: small nucleolar RNA, 138 nt
Filed under: Ornithorhynchus anatinus (platypus)
Lineage: Eukaryota; Metazoa; Chordata; Mammalia; Monotremata; Ornithorhynchidae
Source: RNAcentral
AGCCUCUCAGGAUCACACCUGGAGAGUUUCCAGUACUCUACCAGUCUUGGCUAUGGGAGGAAGAGUCAGGCAGAGGCCUAUCCAUUCCAUUCCUAGCUUGGGCAGUGGUUAGUGAGUGGAAGGCAAUCUGCUACAAGU